CUUGUGCCAAAGAGAUGUGUCGAAUCACGAGAAUGAAGAUCCAAUUUGCUGGUUCAUGCCUACACAUUUUGCACGAUAUGCUUUAAGCGACAAAUAUAUACCGGCAGAGGUUAUCUUUGAUUUCCUUGGAGCAUAUAUGUCACUGAAAAUUAGCCACGUC
Molecule: non-coding RNA, 160 nt
Organism: Arachis ipaensis
Lineage: Eukaryota; Viridiplantae; Streptophyta; Magnoliopsida; Fabales; Fabaceae
Source: RefSeq, a predicted model, not a curated record